AUUGAACGCUGGCGGCAGGCCUAACACAUGCAAGUCGAACGGUAACAGGAAGCAGCUUGCUGCUUUGCUGACGAGUGGCGGACGGGUGAGUAAUGUCUGGGAAACUGCCUGAUGGAGGGGGAUAACUACUGGAAACGGUAGCUAAUACCGCAUAACGUCGCAAGACCAAAGAGGGGGACCUUCGGGCCUCUUGCCAUCGGAUGUGCCCAGAUGAGAUUAGCUAGUAGGUGGGGUAACGGCUCACCUAGGCGACGAUCCCUAGCUGGUCUGAGAGGAUGACCAGCCACACUGGAACUGAGACACGGUCCAGACUCCUACGGGAGGCAGCAGUGGGGAAUAUUGCACAAUGGGCGCAAGCCUGAUGCAGCCAUGCCGCGUGUAUGAAGAAGGCCUUCGGGUUGUAAAGUACUUUCAGCGGGGAGGAAGGGAGUAAAGUUAAUACCUUUGCUCAUUGACGUUACCCGCAGAAGAAGCACCGGCUAACUCCGUG
This 490-nucleotide ribosomal RNA is filed under the name uncultured bacterium. Its description in RNAcentral is "partial 16S ribosomal RNA". It matches the Rfam family "Bacterial small subunit ribosomal RNA", at positions 30 to 507 of the family's 1533-position model. The record is from RNAcentral.